RNAcentral lists this ribosomal RNA (376 nucleotides) under uncultured eukaryote. RNAcentral describes it as "partial 18S ribosomal RNA". It matches the Rfam family "Eukaryotic small subunit ribosomal RNA", at positions 592 to 976 of the family's 1831-position model. The record is from RNAcentral.
CAAGAGCGUAUAUUAAAGUUGCUGCGGUUAAAAAGCUCGUAGUUGGAUUUCAGUCUAGGAAGGUUAACUCGCCGAAAGGUUGUACGUUGAUUUUCCUCAGACUUCGUCAGAAGCUCGUGCUGCACUUAACUGUGUGGUACGAUGUUCUGACCUUUUACCUUGAGGAAAGUAGAGUGUUUCAGGCAGGCUACCCGGCUUGAAUACAUUAGCAUGGAAUAAUGAAAUGGAUCUCGGUUCGAUUUCGUUGGUUCUAGAGCUGAGGUGAUGAUCAAUAGGAACAGGCGAAGGUAUUCGUACUUGAGAGUGAGGAGUGAAAUCCGAUGAUCUCUUAAAGACGAUCCGAGGCGAAAGCAUUUGUCAAGGAUGUUUUCAUUGA